GGGGGCGAAAAGGGUUCGACGGGGACAGUUGAGGUCAGAGUUGCGUGCCGAGGUUCCUAUCUCCUCGUAAAACAGGUAGGGUUCAAAGAUAGUCGCCGACAAUUACGACUACGCUCUGGCCGCGUAAGGCCACGUCUCUCCGGUCAGGCCCGCAGGGCCGGAAGGGGCGUCGGGAAGCGGGCUGGCCGAAUCUCCCUAGCCCUGGGGAGAGGAGGCGAGAUCUCGUGGGGCUGGUCUCCAGGGAAUCCCUCUCCCGGGAGUCUCUGGAGACGAGAGAAAAACGGGAGAUACGCACGUAGACGCUCUGGCUGAAGGUUUCCGGACGGGGGUUCGAUUCCCCCCGCCUCCACCA
This 352-nucleotide transfer-messenger RNA is filed under the name Deltaproteobacteria bacterium. It matches the Rfam family "transfer-messenger RNA". Rfam says of the family: Bacterial tmRNA, also known as 10Sa RNA or SsrA, is named for its dual tRNA and mRNA-like properties. Its role is to liberate the mRNA from a stalled ribosome. The record is from RNAcentral. Lineage: Bacteria; Pseudomonadati; Myxococcota; Myxococcia.